This 790-nucleotide ribosomal RNA is filed under the name Dromochorus belfragei. RNAcentral describes it as "Cicindela belfragei partial 16S ribosomal RNA". The stretch from base 1 to 561 matches the Rfam family "Bacterial large subunit ribosomal RNA", at positions 1846 to 2925 of the family's 2925-position model. The record is from RNAcentral. Lineage: Eukaryota; Metazoa; Arthropoda; Insecta; Coleoptera; Carabidae.
UAAGGUCUAACCUGACCAAUGAAAAUUUAAAUGGCCGCAGUAUUUUGACUGUGCAAAGGUAGCAUAAUUAUUAGUUUUUUAAUUGAAAGCUUGUAUGAAGGGUUGGACGAAAUAAAAUCUGUCUUUAUUUAAAUUAAUAUAGAAUUUAACUUUUAAGUCAAAAGGCUUAAAUAUUAAUAAAAGACGAGAAGACCCUAUAGAUCUUUAUUUAAUUAAUAUUUUAAUAUUUUAGGAUUAUUUAAAUUUAAAGUUUUGAUUAAAUUUUAUUGGGGUAAUAUAAAGAUUAAGUAAAUUCUUUUUAUUAAUUACAUUGAUUUAUGAAUUUAUGAUCCAGUAAUAUUGAUUAAAAGAUUAAGUUACCUUAGGGAUAACAGCGUAAUUUUUUUUGAGAGCUCAUAUCGAUAAAAAAGUUUGCGACCUCGAUGUUGGAUUACAAAUUAGCUUGGGUGCAGAAGCUCAAGAUUUUGGUCNGUUCGACCAUNNNNNNNNNNNNNNNUCUGAGUUCAGACCGGCGUAAGCCAGGUCGGUUUCUAUCUUUAUUAAAAUAAAAUAUUUUAGUACGAAAGGACCAAAUAUUUAAUAUAUUUAUAUUUAAUUUUUGAAUAAUAUUAUUACUUUGGCAGAAUAGUGCAAUGAAUUUAGAAUUCAUGAAUGUAAUUUAUUACAAGUAAUACUUGUAUUUAGGAGAUUUACUAWUAAUAAUAUUAUGUAUAUUAAUUCUUGUAAUUUGUGUAUUAAUUGGUGUAGCUUUUUUAACUUUAUUAGAACGUAAAGUGUUAGGAUAUAUUCA